GGGUAAUACCGGAUAGAUUUUAGCUGAAAGAAGUGAUAAGGAAAGGAAGCUAAGGCUUCGCUUAAGGAUGAGCGUGCGUCCCAUUAGCUAGUGUAAAUAACGCACCAAGGCGAGUGGGUAUCCGGCGAGAGGGUGACGGACACAUUGGGAGUGAGAACGGCCCAAACUCCUGGGAGGCAGCAGUAAGAAUAUUCCGCAAUGGACGGAAGUCUGACGGAGCGACACCGCGUGGAUGAAGAGGCUGAAAAGUUGUAAAAUUCUUUUGCUGAUGAAGAAUAGGGAAUGCUUAUGACGGUAUCGAAUAAGCCCCG
RNAcentral lists this ribosomal RNA (311 nucleotides) under Treponema sp. oral taxon 232. Its description in RNAcentral is "bacterial SSU rRNA". It matches the Rfam family "Bacterial small subunit ribosomal RNA", at positions 161 to 495 of the family's 1533-position model. Lineage: Bacteria; Pseudomonadati; Spirochaetota; Spirochaetia; Treponematales; Treponemataceae. The record is from RNAcentral.